ACGGAGGUGGCGAGCGUUAUUCGGAUUUACUGGGCGUAAAGCGCGUGUAGGCGGUCUGGCAAGUCGGAUGUGAAAUCCCCGGGCUCAACCCGGGAAGUGCAUUCGAAACUGCGGGACUUGAGUACGGUAGAGGAUGGUGGAAUUCCCGGUGUAGAGGUGAAAUGCGUAGAUAUCGGGAGGAACACCAGUGGCGAAAGCGGCCAUCUGGACCGUUACUGACGCUCAGACGCGAAAGCCUGGGGAGCAAACAG
This 251-nucleotide ribosomal RNA is filed under the name uncultured prokaryote. Its description in RNAcentral is "partial 16S rRNA". It matches the Rfam family "Bacterial small subunit ribosomal RNA", at positions 525 to 775 of the family's 1533-position model. The record is from RNAcentral.